This 484-nucleotide ribosomal RNA is filed under the name uncultured bacterium. RNAcentral describes it as "partial 16S ribosomal RNA". It matches the Rfam family "Bacterial small subunit ribosomal RNA", at positions 30 to 507 of the family's 1533-position model. The record is from RNAcentral.
AUUGAACGCUGGCGGCGGGCCUAACACAUGCAAGUCGAGCGGAUGAAGGGAGCUUGCUCCUGGAUUCAGCGGCGGACGGGUGAGUAAUGCCUAGGAAUCUGCCUGGUAGUGGUGGAUAACGUCCUGAAACGGGCGCUAAUACCGCAUACGUCCUGAUGGUGAAAGUGGGGGAUCUUCGGACCUUUCGCUAUCUGAUGAGCCUAGGUCGGAUUAGCUAGUUGGUGGGGUAAAGGCCUACCAAGGCGACGAUCCGUAACUGGUCUGAGAGGAUGAUCAGUCACACUGGAACUGAGACACGGUCCAGAGUCCUAAGGGAGGCAGCAGUGGGGAAUAUUGGACAAUGGGCGAAAGCCUGAUCCAGCCAUGCCGAGUGUGUGAAGAAGGUCUUCGGAUUGUAAAGCACUUUAAGUUGGGAGGAAGGGCAGUAAGUUAAUACCUUGCUGUAUUGACGUUACCAACAGAAUAAGCACCGGCUAACUUCGUG